CCUACGGGUGGCAGCAGUCGAGAAUCAUUCACAAUGGGGGAAACCCUGAUGGUGCGACGCCGCGUGGGGGAAUGAAGGUCUUCGGAUUGUAAACCCCUGUCAUGUGGGAGCAAAUUAAAAAGAUAGUACCACAAGAGGAAGAGACGGCUAACUCGGUGCCAGCAGCCGCGGUAAUACAGAGGUCUCAAGCGUUGUUCGGAAUCACUGGGCGUAAAGCGUGCGUAGGCUGUUUCGUAAGUCGUGUGUGAAAGGCGCGGGCUCAACCCGCGGACGGCACAUGAUACUGCGAGACGAGAGUAAGGGAGGGGGAACCGGAAUUCUCGGUGUAGCAGUGAAAUGCGUAGAUAUCGCGAGGAACACUCGGGGCGAAGGCGGGUUCCUGGACAUUAACUGACGCUGAGGCACGAAGGCCAGGGGAGCGAAAGGGAUUAGAUACCCGAGUAGUC
RNAcentral lists this ribosomal RNA (446 nucleotides) under uncultured bacterium. Its description in RNAcentral is "partial 16S ribosomal RNA". It matches the Rfam family "Bacterial small subunit ribosomal RNA", at positions 338 to 795 of the family's 1533-position model. The record is from RNAcentral.